This 367-nucleotide ribosomal RNA is filed under the name uncultured bacterium. RNAcentral's name for it is "bacterial SSU rRNA". It matches the Rfam family "Bacterial small subunit ribosomal RNA", at positions 335 to 690 of the family's 1533-position model. The record is from RNAcentral.
ACUCCUACGGGAGGCAGCAGUAGGGAAUCUUCCACAAUGGGCGCAAGCCUGAUGGAGCAACACCGCGUGAGUGAAGAAGGGUUUCGGCUCGUAAAGCUCUGUUAGUUAAAGAAGAACACGUAUGAGAGUAACUGUUCAUACGUUGACGGUAUUAACCAGAAAGUCACGGCUAACUACGUGCCAGCAGCCGCGGUAAUACGUAGGUGGCAAGCGUUAUCCGGUAUUUAGUUGGGCGUAAAGAGAGUGCUAGGUCGGUUUUCUAAGUCUGAUGUGAAACGCCUUCGGCUUAACCGGAGAAGUGCAUCGGAAACUGGAUAACUGAGUGCAGGAAGAGGUAGUGGAACUCCAUGUGUAGCGGUGGAAUGCG